UGGGGAAUAUUGCACAAUGGGCGCAAGCCUGAUGCAGCCAUGCCGCGUGUAUGAAGAAGGCCUUCGGGUUGUAAAGUACUUUCAGCGGGGAGGAAGGGAGUAAAGUUAAUACCUUUGCUCAUUGACGUUACCCGCAGAAGAAGCACCGGCUAACUCCGUGCCAGCAGCCGCGGUAAUACGGAGGGUGCAAGCGUUAAUCGGAAUUACUGGGCGUAAAGCGCACGCAGGCGGUUUGUUAAGUCAGAUGUGAAAUCCCCGGGCUCAACCUGGGAACUUCAAUUGGUAACGGGCAGGUUGGGUGUCGGAAAGGGGGGUAGAAUUCCAGGUGUAGCGGUGAAAUGCGUAGAGAUCUGGAGGAAUACCGGUGGCGAAGGCGGCCCCCUGGACGAAGACUGACGCUCAGGUGCGAAAGCGUGGGGAGCAAACAGG
RNAcentral lists this ribosomal RNA (429 nucleotides) under Chloroflexota bacterium. RNAcentral's name for it is "Chloroflexi bacterium partial 16S ribosomal RNA". It matches the Rfam family "Bacterial small subunit ribosomal RNA", at positions 355 to 776 of the family's 1533-position model. Lineage: Bacteria; Bacillati; Chloroflexota. The record is from RNAcentral.